This 311-nucleotide unclassified non-coding RNA is filed under the name Hevea brasiliensis (rubber tree). Lineage: Eukaryota; Viridiplantae; Streptophyta; Magnoliopsida; Malpighiales; Euphorbiaceae. The record is from RNAcentral.
UAUAACAUGCAUACAGGACAACAUCAAUUGGUUAUAUUGUUGUAUCCAUCUAUUCACACCGCAAAAUCUUUGAUAUCAAAAAGGUUGAGAGCCCACUAAUCCAUUUGCAAGUGAUUUUGUUCAGCUUUUUAUCUAUGUAUAAAUUUUUUCGAUUGUGUUUUAAUUGUAGAGAAUCAUGAUUUGACAAACCACCACACUUCACUAUUGAAGAAACAUAAAUUAUAGAACAACACAGUAAUUCCACCACUACUUUUCUCACGUUAAAGUAACAAAAAUUGACAUUUCUACUUUCUCUCUCUUAGCAUUGGCAG